Molecule: non-coding RNA, 592 nt
Organism: Odocoileus virginianus texanus
Lineage: Eukaryota; Metazoa; Chordata; Mammalia; Artiodactyla; Cervidae
Source: RefSeq, a predicted model, not a curated record
AGCUCUUAAAUAAAUCAGUGUCACAGCUCUACUUAUUUAGAUGAUAGCAGGAAAAUCCAUCUUCGAGGUGUGAGGGCACUUCGAUCCAAAGACAGGAAGAGAAGAGCGCCCCAUCGUAAACCAGAACCCUGGCCCAUGUGGAACAGUGGGGACUCAAAAGGAUAGGUCCUGUCUCCUGGAUCAUAACUCAUUCCAUCCACAAAGAAGUCUUUCGAUAACAGAGACUUCAGUUCCACUUCAUAAGAUCUGAAUAUCAAGACUGACAAACUCACUUGAAGAUAACCUCUUCAUUUGAAAAAAAUUUAGACUAUUAAGGCACUAUAUCUGUAGAAAAAGACUUUCUGCCCUUCUAGACAAGUUCAUGAAUUCAGAAGAAAUCUCCUUCUCUCAGAUGUGGGCUCAUGACAACCUUGGUACCCCAACUAGAUGUCUCAGGCAGUGUUGUGAGAACAGCUAAUUGGCAGAUUCCCAACUCAAGAAGUGAAACUAUCUUCCCACCCACAACCAUUCCUAUGUGUUCUGAAAAAUUUUAGAAGAUAAAAGAAAGGUGAAAAACGUCAGGAACAUCACAACCCAAAGAGAUUCAGUUUAA